GUCUCAGCAGCUGCCCUGGCCUCACUCCUACCUCAUCCUUCCCUCAGACCUGCCCGAAUGCCACCUCCACCCUCUUCUUUCUCAGUUCCUCAGAACGAUCUCAGAGACCACAUUUGCCCCUUGAAGACAACAAUCAGAGCCAGCAUUCAUCUCUGUGCCAAGUGUGAACCCUUAGAACAAGAUGUUGCGGCAGCUGAUCAGGAAGACUGAGAGCCACCCUGCUCCGUCUGGAGCCUGGAGCGCCAACUGAUGCAGCCGGAGUCUUGAUCGCGCCACACACCCUCACC
RNAcentral lists this long non-coding RNA (287 nucleotides) under Mus spicilegus (steppe mouse). RNAcentral's name for it is "lncRNA (ENSMSIG00000009069.1)". The record is from RNAcentral. Lineage: Eukaryota; Metazoa; Chordata; Mammalia; Rodentia; Muridae.